UAGUUUUAUCUUUCUUAGUAUGUGAGGUGAGAUAAAAAAGUUGUAAGAGUACGGUUACACUUCUAAGGUUCACUUUUAUCUUAAAAUGUGUGAGGUGAUUGAUAACAUAAGCAUACACCUUAAUUUUUCUUCUAAUUUUAUCCUUUAAGCAUGUUGGGUGAUUUGUAGAAUAGAGCAAAGGAGGGGACUUAGCGAGAUCAUGCGCUGUUGUAAAAUUCCUGCAAGUAUACGGAUUGCACAAAAGUAAUAAAGUGAGAGUAUAGUAUCAUCCCACGAAGAUUGAUUUAUGAAUAUUGAAACUAAUUAGAUAACUAACAUCUAACAAUCAAUAUUGAAUUAAAAAGAAAUAAAAAUUAAUUUAUCACUACUUUAAACUUCUUAAGUAAUUUUAUCUAAUUGAGAUAAAGAGAGAAUUUCAAGAUUAAGGAUUACUGGGGCUUAAUGGUCUCAUUGAGAUCCUAUUGGGUUUACUAGAGUUAAUUAAAUAUUCCUAAUGUAUUAUGCUUCACCCACCUAAUGUUAAUAAGUCAACACUCAUCCCUACGCGUGGAACUCCUAUCUUCAAUUUCCAAUCAUUUCAUUGAGGAAAACUCUCACCUGUUCACUCAAGAAAUACCCAUAAUCCCAAGGAUUUUAAAAAUCCAACAAUUGCAAAUAGACUUCAAAGUGACACUUAGGGUUGAAAAGCAUCUCUAUUUAGCAAACUCAUAAGGCUGGCAUUUCAUCAAGCACCUUAUGAGCAAACCUCUUGAUUCACAAUACAAGCAAAAACACAUUCCUGUUUGUUGGCCAAACGAAAAAUAAUGUCAAAGAUAAUGGAAAAAUUAAGCAUAAACACAAAAGGAUUUCAAAUUAAUUAAACCCAAAGUAAAACCCAAUAUUCACAAAGCUAAACCAUAGGCAUAGCAAUGAUUUAGUUUUUCCUUAUCAAAAGUGCAAUCUCCAAAGAAAGAAAACAAAGAAUAUAGAGUCAUUACAAGCUGAUAAGAUCAUAGAGCACAAUGAUUCAACCAAAAUAAAGAUGAUAAACUAAGAAAUAAUGGCUCUGCUCUCCACCUUCACUUGUAGAGCUGUUGAUUCUUUCUUUCCUCUUAAAAUCACCUCUCCAAAAGCUUCAUUUUCAGCCCCAGAUCUCUACCUCUAAGGAAAAAUCUACCAAGUUUUCUUUUUGGUGUCCAUCUAGGUUUUUUCUUUUUCUCUAACAGCUCUUAGAUAUACCAGCAUGCCCUAAGUGUCUCAAUGGUGGGUAUUUAUAUGCCCCCCUGUUAUUGCCCACAUGUCCCUCAUUUUAAGUGAAGCUUCCAACUGGACACAGACCGUCCAGGUUUCGGUCUGGUUCCUGCACGAGCCGUAUCACCGUGUGAUUUACUUCUCUAAAGUUGAAACCCGCAUGACAUGGACCAUGCAGGUUUUUCUUCAUGAUUCUACACGGUCCAUGUGGUGAGGCAGUAGCUUCCCCUGAUAUUGACACGGAUCAUGUGGCUUUCCUUCACUAGUCCGCGCAGGUCGUGUCACAAGAUAGUAGCUUUUUUCAUUAGAAUGACACAGACUCUGCGAGUUUUGUGCAUAAUCUUGCAUGAUCCGUGCUAAACACUUAUCACAAAAAAAUCUUGGAUUCUUUAUGCUUUCCAUCCCUUCUUUCACACCCUAUUUUCUCGAUUUUUCCUUUUUUUUUUGCUCGAUCCUACAAGAACGAAAAACAAAAGUGUGAAAGUGGUCAUAUUCAUAUAGUUUAGGUAAAAAAUAAGUCUAAUUUGUAGGUAAAAUACCCCUACAUCAAGCACUUAGGGGGAUUAUAGUACAGUCUUGAGAAAGGAAAUAAAAUCGUCAAUUUCUAAUGCAAGUCAAGCAAGGAAACCCUCUAAAGCAUACUCCUUUAUGCCUAUGAAGAAAAGACGGUUAAUGACACAAAUAAUAAAAAAUGUUGGAACUCAAAACAAAUAGUUAAGGACGCACGUUUUUUCCAUGGUAAGGGCGUACACACUUACCUUCAAAAUGCAUGGCCUAACCUCUUAGUACAUGAGUUCUUAAACAAUUGUGCAUGGCUUAAGGACGUGCUCCUCUUCGAUAUAGACGUGCGCACUUACCUCUAUGCGCACUUCUAUACCCCUUUCAGACGUAUGCCCUUAAGUCCCAGUUUUUAACAGUGGUUUACAGCAUUGUGGACAUCUUAAAACAUGCAUCAAGCACUCAUUUUCCAACCCAUAAAGGAAUCAACAACCAGAGUAACGCAAUCUAGGGUCCCUGAGAGUCCGAAAUCGACUGGUUCAUGAACAUAGAACGUUCAUAUCUAAAGCAUCGCACAAACGCAUUGUCAUACCAAUCAAAGAUUCAUUGUGCCGUUUAACCCUGGUUAAUCGACUAACUCCCAUUCUGAACCCCUAUGUUCUAACGCUCUUAGUGCUCAAAGGCCAUCAGCAAAGCAUACAAUCAGGAAGACGAUGACUUAGCAUGUACAUACUUGUUAAGGACACACACCUAUAGAGGAGACAACAAAGUACGUUCAUACUUAACCAAGACGCACGUCUAUAGGGCAAGUAUGGGGGCUAUUUUCUAUGUAUUUAACCCUAUAACAUGUUACUAACUAUCCGGCAUCAAAUAUGACUCGGGAAAAAGUAAGAUAUGACUGACGAUAGAAAGCAAAUAUUCAAACGCGUGCGCCUUUAGGCUAAGGGUGUGCGUUCUUAUUUGUUAAGAAGCACGUUCUUAGCCAAAGACGCACAUCCUUGACUAACAUAUACUCAUAGAUAACAUGUUUAUUAAUUUAAAAAUUGUAAUAUGUUAUACCACAUAAGGAAUUAGCGUUGAGCCCUUAGAAUUACCUGGUAAUGUGGCUUGAAAUUAUAUGUUUUAUGAUUCUGAGGGUCCUAAGGUCGAGGCAUUCUCGAUUUUGUGACGAUUCCCUUCCUUUUCUUCUUCUUUCUAUUUCCCUUUCUGAAUUCCUUUUGUCCACUUUGAUCCUUUUAUCACCCUUGUUAGUACCUACACUAUGUCUUUUUUGCUGGUGUUAGUAACGUCAUGCUCCAAUAAUCUGUUUCUUGGAGCUUUCCUCUGUAUCCCCUUCAUAUUGCUUUUCUUUCUUUUUCUUUGCUUGUCCCUUUAUUUUCGAGGUCUC
Molecule: long non-coding RNA, 3115 nt
Filed under: Ricinus communis (castor bean)
Lineage: Eukaryota; Viridiplantae; Streptophyta; Magnoliopsida; Malpighiales; Euphorbiaceae
Description: long non-coding RNA (RCOM_LNC002801)
Source: RNAcentral